GUAGGUGGCAAGCGUUGUCCGGAAUUAUUGGGCGUAAAGCGCGCGCAGGCGGUUCUUUAAGUCUGAUGUGAAAGCCCACGGCUCAACCGUGGAGGGUCAUUGGAAACUGGAGAACUUGAGUACAGAAGAGGAAAGCGGAAUUCCACGUGUAGCGGUGAAAUGCGUAGAGAUGUGGAGGAACACCAGUGGCGAAGGCGGCUUUCUGGUCUGUAACUGACGCUGAGGCGCGAAAGCGUGGGGAGCAAACAGGAUUAGACACCCUGGUAGUCCACGCCGUAAACGAUGAGUGCUAAGUGUUAGGGGGGUUUCCGCCCCCCUUAGUGCUGCAGCUAACGCAUUAAGCACUCCGCCUGGGAGUACGGCCGCAAGGCUG
This 373-nucleotide ribosomal RNA is filed under the name uncultured organism. RNAcentral describes it as "partial 16S ribosomal RNA". It matches the Rfam family "Bacterial small subunit ribosomal RNA", at positions 527 to 896 of the family's 1533-position model. The record is from RNAcentral.